UGAGUAAUGCCUAGGAAUCUGCCUGGUAGUGGGGGACAACGUUUCGAAAGGAACGCUAAUACCGCAUACGUCCUACGGGAGAAAGCAGGGGACCUUCGGGCCUUGCGCUAUCAGAUGAGCCUAGGUCGGAUUAGCUAGUUGGUGAGGUAAUGGCUCACCAAGGCGACGAUCCGUAACUGGUCUGAGAGGAUGAUCAGUCACACUGGAACUGAGACACGGUCCAGACUCCUACGGGAGGCAGCAGUGGGGAAUAUUGGACAAUGGGCGAAAGCCUGAUCCAGCCAUGCCGCGUGUGUGAAGAAGGUCUCCGGAUUGUAAAGCACUUUAAGUUGGGAGGAAGGGCAGUCAGCGAAUACCUUGCUGUCUUGACGUUACCGACAGAAUAAGCACCGGCUAACUCUGUGCCAGCAGCCGCGGUAAUACAGAGGGUGCAAGCGUUAAUCGGAAUUACUGGGCGUAAAGCGCGCGUAGGUGGUUUGUUAAGUUGGAUGUGAAAUCCCCGGG
This 504-nucleotide ribosomal RNA is filed under the name uncultured bacterium. Its description in RNAcentral is "bacterial SSU rRNA". It matches the Rfam family "Bacterial small subunit ribosomal RNA", at positions 107 to 607 of the family's 1533-position model. The record is from RNAcentral.